UAAGAAGAGGCGCAACUGACAAGAGUAGCCAUCCGGAAUCGAUAAAGCGGUAACGAUGGAUGGUAAAAGGGGAUGUUGCCGAAACUAACGGUUACUUUAUUAACUGAAGUGUUGGGGUCCAAUUUAAUAAAUUGGAAACUGUCGUAGUUUUUAACUACGGAGUGCUUUUA
This 170-nucleotide non-coding RNA is filed under the name Apilactobacillus bombintestini. RNAcentral's name for it is "Lysine riboswitch". It matches the Rfam family "Lysine riboswitch aptamer". Rfam says of the family: Riboswitches are metabolite binding domains within certain messenger RNAs that serve as precision sensors for their corresponding targets. Allosteric rearrangement of mRNA structure is mediated by ligand binding, and this results in modulation of gene expression. This family includes riboswitches that sense lysine in a number of genes involved in lysine metabolism, including lysC. Lineage: Bacteria; Bacillati; Bacillota; Bacilli; Lactobacillales; Lactobacillaceae. The record is from RNAcentral.